GAUAAUCAAAACAUAGAUGGAGUCUAUCAACACCCCAAAGCUUGACAGUCAUUAUUACCUCUUCAUUGGUGACAUUUUAUUCCAUAGCGUUACACAGUUUGGAUGCUGUUUUAUUUUAUCUUUAAUUCGUGUUAGAUUACAUGUGGAAGCAUCUGUUGUUUUGGUUUCUUCUCCACUUGUGUUUUUUGGGGUUUUUGGAAAUUCUGUACAGAAGAUGUGUACUAGCGCCCCCUACCAUAUAACAAUGACAACACGGAUUCUAGGAAUUAACACAAGUAUAGCUCAAAUAUAUUUUGAUUUUUUUCCUUAGUAUGUCAGGUAUACUUAAAUGUCAUUUUAAGUAUAUUUCUGAGAAGUACAUAAAGCCCAUUUCUGAGAAGUAGACAUAACAAGUUGACCAAAAGUAUACUUUCCUAUAAACGCAGUUGUUUUUUACAGAUAGGCUACGUUAAAUAUUGAAGUUUGGAAUGGCUGUGUUUACAAAAGUUUCUUAAGUUGACACUGUAUCUUUACUUUGAGCAUUCGGAAACAAAGCAUCUUUCCAACUGUAAUCGCGUGUAUAUAUGAUUAUAUUGGAAUGUUGGAAUACUUGGAAAUGAUGUGAGAGAAAGUGGAGUUUCAUAAAUGCUAACUUCACACACAGGCGGAUGUGAGGCGACAGAGCUACUGAUCACUGCCACCGAUAGAAGCAGAAACAUGCAUAAAUAGGCUACUUGGGAGGUGGAGUCUCAUAAACUGCUUCUUUCCUAGAUUAGGCUACAACUGGAAAAGAAUUAGAAAAUGAAAAUGACAAGUCCUAAAACAAGAGCUACAUCAAGUGCAUCUAAAGAUGAUCAUGUGACCAGCUCUCUUCAACAGCCAGCAUCUCCAUUUGACCAGUAAUGUGGUGUCUAAAUUUCUGAAGAUCAGACCACAGGUCCUCGGGGUAAAGCAAACUGUCCCACUUCUAAUUUCUUUCUGCUAAUAUUAAUUAUGGGUAAUGAGGAAACGUUCACCAUCUUGUUUUAUAUUUUACAGGGUUUGGAAAUAGUAUUUGGCAUAGCGGUGUUUGCCUUAACAAUCUUGAAGGGUUAUAUUACAUUUUGUGGACUUCUAUCAUUUCAUUUUUAAUUGGAUCUUUGACGGUGUUAGCUGCACACAAACGUACUACACGAUGGAUCAGAGCCUCACAAUCUCUAAACUACCUCAAUGCCAUAACAUCUAUUUUCUCCAUUCCAUUUCAUGGGUUUGCAAAUGAUGGUGUGACUCACAUUGUAUUGAUGGUCUGUGAUGCUCUUGUCUUCGUCUUCUCCAUUACUGUUGCCUCAACUUCCUGCUGCGGGCCAAAGCGAAGGCCAGUUUACAGGCAAUACAGCACUAGGGUUUAUCACAGGAACAGGCCUCUGCCUGGUGUGACUGUCAACAAUAUUGUGUUUGUGACUCAACCAAACUCUGCUGCAACACCAACAGUUUUCAGUUCAGUUCAGUAUGGGCUGCAAUCAGAAUAUGGACCAGCCUUUUCCAGAUGACCUGAGGACUGAAGGACAGAAGAUGAUCGGGAUCCCAGCCAAAGGAUGAACUUAAUAGUUCAUUUAUGUAUUAUAUUAAACAUUUUACAAAAACAAUUACUGUUUUUACUGUUCAUGCAAAAUAUUCUGGUUUAAAAUCUCACAGUUAGUUUAACAUGUUGAAAUUGGGAGGAGCAUGUUGAUCGAACUUUCCCAUAGAUUUCCAUUGUAGGUGCAGAUUUUUUUUAUAUUAGUCAUUAUAAAACAUUCAUGCAAAAAAAAAAUCAGAAUAGCAACUAGUGUUAUAAAUAAAUAAAUAAAGGAACAUAUUUCUGCAUAUUGUAUAUUGGCCCAGAAUAGUGUGAAGUUUCAGAAACUUUCAGCAUGAAUUUUACUUAGUAGGUGGAGUCUCAUAAACUGCUCUGCAGCUAAACUACAACUGAAAAAGAAAGAAAAUAAAAAUGACAAGACCUCAGACAAGAGCAACAUCAAGUUAAAUCAGUCUAUUAUUAUUUUGCUCAUAUUAUAGUACGGUAGUAUAUAUUAUAAUACAUAUUAUAGUACUGAUCUGAAUGGACAGGAAGCCGAGAUGAAGAUUACUAUACAAUUUGUGGAAUAAAAUAUCAAGCUUCAUUUAAAAAGAGGCUUAAAUUUUUUAUCUUUAUUUGUGUUGA
Onychostoma macrolepis is the source of this 2161-nucleotide RNA transcript. RefSeq lists it as uncharacterized. The record is from RefSeq and is a predicted model, not a curated record. NCBI's taxonomy places the organism in Eukaryota, Metazoa, Chordata, Actinopteri, Cypriniformes, Cyprinidae. The transcript is spliced from 7 exons.